RNAcentral lists this unclassified non-coding RNA (352 nucleotides) under soil metagenome. RNAcentral describes it as "partial contains 5.8S ribosomal RNA, internal transcribed spacer 2, and large subunit ribosomal RNA". The stretch from base 1 to 120 matches the Rfam family "5.8S ribosomal RNA", at positions 35 to 154 of the family's 154-position model. The record is from RNAcentral.
GAUGAAGAACGUAGCGAAAUGCGAUAAGUAAUGUGAAUUGCAGAAUUCAGAGAAUCAUCGAAUCUUUGAACGCACAUUGCGCCCGCCAGUAUUCUGGCGGGCAUGCCUGUUCGAGCGUCAUUACAACCCUCAGGCCCCCGGGCCUGGCGUUGGGGAUCGGCGGAGCCCCCCGUGGGCACACGCCGUCCCCCAAAUACAGUGGCGGUCCCGCCGCAGCUUCCAUCGCGUAGUAGCUAACACCUCGCGACUGGAGAGCGGCGCGGCCACGCCGUAAAACACCCAACUCUUCUGAAGUUGACCUCGAAUCAGGUAGGAAUACCCGCUGAACUUAAGCAUAUCAAUAAGCGGAGGA